ACAAACUUCAUAUGAAUUCCUUAUAUAACUAUGGUGAUAUGGACCAUAAGUCUCUACCUGGCAGCCUUAAAUUGCCGGACUAUAAGGAAAGUCAUUCUAUAC
Molecule: non-coding RNA, 102 nt
Filed under: Jeotgalibacillus campisalis
Lineage: Bacteria; Bacillati; Bacillota; Bacilli; Caryophanales; Caryophanaceae
Description: Guanine sequence
Rfam family: Purine riboswitch aptamer
About the family: Riboswitches are metabolite binding domains within certain messenger RNAs that serve as precision sensors for their corresponding targets.
Source: Rfam by way of RNAcentral